Molecule: long non-coding RNA, 454 nt
Organism: Myotis daubentonii (Daubenton's bat)
Lineage: Eukaryota; Metazoa; Chordata; Mammalia; Chiroptera; Vespertilionidae
Gene: RFESD
Exons: 2
Source: RefSeq, a predicted model, not a curated record
GUUUCAAUUUAAUAACUGUGCUUCCUUUCAGAGUUCUGUUUUUUUCUUUUUUUUAAUCCUCACCCGAGGAUAUUUUUCCAUUGAUUUUUAGAGAGAGUGGAAGAGAGAGGGAAAGACGAAGAGAAAUAUUGAUGUGAGAGAAACACAUCGAUCGGUUGCCUCCUGCAUGAGCCCCAACCAGGGUCUGGGGGACAGAGAGGAGCCUGCAACAGAGAUACCUCGGAAAGAAUUACUUCUGACAACAAACUGUUUCUGACCACCUCCACUCUCCCUGCCACAAAACACGGAAUCAACUUGUUACUGCUCUUAAGAACAGUGUUAGAAACCAAACAGGCACUGGAUGCAUGUCCGGUGAUUCCUCGUGUCUCUGGAAUACGAAAGUGACAGCAGAAGACAGCUACUUACAUUCAUUUAGAUGGAGAAUGAGACAUUCUUCUUUUUAAAAAAACAACAA